CCUACGGGAGGCAGCAGUAGGGAAUCUUCCGCAAUGGACGAAAGUCUGACGGAGCAACGCCGCGUGAACGAUGAAGGCCUUCGGGUCGUAAAGUUCUGUUGUUAGGGAAGAACAAGUGCUAGUUGAAUAAGCUGGCACCUUGACGGUACCUAACCAGAAAGCCACGGCUAACUACGUGCCAGCAGCCGCGGUAAUACGUAGGUGGCAAGCGUUGUCCGGAAUUAUUGGGCGUAAAGCGCGCGCAGGCGGUUUCUUAAGUCUGAUGUGAAAGCCCCCGGCUCAACCGGGGAGGGUCAUUGGAAACUGGGAAACUUGAGUGCAGAAGAGGAAAGUGGAAUUCCAAGUGUAGCGGUGAAAUGCGUAGAGAUUUGGAGGAACACCAGUGGCGAAGGCGACUUUCUGGUCUGUAACUGACGCUGAGGCGCGAAAGCGUGGGGAGCAAACAGGAUUAGAUACCCUGGUAGUCCACGCUGUAAACGAUGAGUGCUAAGUGUUAGAGGGUUUCCGCCCUUUAGUGCUGAAGUUAACGCAUUAAGCNCNCCGCGUGGAGGUACGUCGCAGANAGAACACAANAGAUGACGCGNGAGAGNGCGAGACGACGACGAGGGAGAGG
This 613-nucleotide ribosomal RNA is filed under the name uncultured bacterium. Its description in RNAcentral is "bacterial SSU rRNA". The stretch from base 1 to 545 matches the Rfam family "Bacterial small subunit ribosomal RNA", at positions 338 to 873 of the family's 1533-position model. The record is from RNAcentral.